Non-coding RNA from Melozone crissalis (California towhee), 396 nucleotides. The record is from the annotation of a RefSeq genome assembly. Lineage: Eukaryota; Metazoa; Chordata; Aves; Passeriformes; Passerellidae.
GCGGCCGUGACCCUGCUGGAGUGCGGGGGGAACCUCCAGCCCCCCGGGGGGUCCCUGCGCCUCCUCUGCCGAGGGUCCGGGUCCAGUUUUGGCAGUUCCACCAUGCUCUGGAUCCGCCAGAGACCCCGACAGGCGCUGGAAUGGCUCGUGGGGAUCACCAGUGGUGGCACCACCGCCUACGCGCCGUCUGUCAAGGGCCGGGUCACGAUCUCCAGGGACAACGGGCAGAGCUCGGUGACGCUGACCAUGAACAACCUCAAGGUCGAGGAUUCCGGAUCCUAUUUCUGCGCCAAAUCUGUUGAUGAUGGUACUGGCUGGGAGACUGUUGCCUAUCGUGUUGACCCCAUGUCCUUUAGCAGAGUCCACAGAGAUUGCGAGAGCUCCAUGCAGGAUUGA